This 1315-nucleotide ribosomal RNA is filed under the name Andracantha sigma. RNAcentral's name for it is "eukaryotic LSU rRNA". It matches the Rfam family "Eukaryotic large subunit ribosomal RNA", at positions 368 to 1437 of the family's 3401-position model. The record is from RNAcentral. Lineage: Eukaryota; Metazoa; Acanthocephala; Palaeacanthocephala; Polymorphida; Polymorphidae.
AAAGCACUCUGAAAAGAGAGUUCACAAGUGCGUGAAACUGCACACUGCAAAGCGAAUGACUGGACAUCAUUAAGUGCGAUCUGCCAUGCGUCUAGCACUAGGUACGUGAGAAAAGCGGUGUUCUACUCAUGUUCUGUAUCCCUCACGAGGUACCUUGGUGCAAAUAUGUGCAUCUGAUUGUGUCUUCGGCUGCUCGCUGGGUUGGCAAGAGUGAUGGUCGCUGCCGAACGAGAGUUCCGUCAAGGGGCUCUCUGUACUAGUGGCGUACAUAGUGGCUAAUUGCGCACUGCGGUGUGCUUUGGUUGUGUAUCAGGCCGACCUGGUUGCGAAAAAGCCUACCUUUGACCGUCGGUUUCCGAAUUAUGGCAGCAUCCGCUGGUAAAGUGGUUGGUGAAGCCGGUCAUGUGGUGUGCUGGCGCGAGAGCGGCAAUCGAAGAAGGCAGCCAAUGGCUUGUGCAGCAUUCGAACCGUCUUGAAACCCGGACUAAGGAGUUCAACUUAAACGCAAGUCGUUUUUCGCUGAGAAUAUUAAAGGCAAAGUGAAAUUGACUUUGUAACUGAGAGAUGUUAACUGAUGGGUACGAACGAGUACAUUUAAUGGUAAGCACGCGUGAUGAGUAGCACAAUUGUUAUUGUUGCUGACUGCGCCUGAGCGUUCAGGUUGAGACCCGAAAGAUGGUGAACUAUGCCUGAGUAGGACGAAGCCAGGAGAAAUUCUGGUGGAAGUUCGUAGCGGUUUUGACGUGCAAAUCAAUCGCAAAACUUGGGUAUAGGGGCGAAAGACUAAUCGAACCAUCUAGUAGCUGGUUCCCUCCGAAGUUUCCCUCAGGAAAGCUGGCGUGUACGUAAUAGUUUUACCUGGUAAAGCUAAUGACUGGAGGGAUCGGAGCUGUUAUAUCUUUGACCUACUCUCAAACUUAAAACGGAUAAGAACUUACUUGCUCCUUCAGUGAGCAGUAAGACCGAAUAGAAAGCGCCAAGUGGGCCAUUUUUGGUAAGCAGAACUGGCGCUGUGGGAUGAACUGAACGGCGAGCUAAGGUGCCAUACACACUUCUCAAGAGACGCCAUGAAAGGUGUUAGUUGAUAUUGACAGCAGGACGGUGGCCAUGGAAGUCGGCAUCUGCUAAGGAGUGUGUAACUACUCACCUGCCGAAUCAACUAGCCCUGAAAAUGGAUGGCGCUAUAGACGUGGACCUAUGCUCGCCCGUUGAGAUUUCCUGUGUGCCCGUGCACAGGUUGAAAAAAGCUCUCAAUGUGUAGGAGGGCAGAGACGUUAACUUUGAAGCCCACAAUGUGAAUUGGCGUGAAGUUGGC